GGUAACAUGGCCGAGUGGUCUAAGGCGCUGGAAUUAGGAGGGGUAUCCACAUCCGGAAACCAACGUAAUCCAGUCCUCCGGGGCGUGAGUUCGAACCUCACUGUUAUCA
Molecule: non-coding RNA, 109 nt
Organism: Desarmillaria ectypa
Lineage: Eukaryota; Fungi; Basidiomycota; Agaricomycetes; Agaricales; Physalacriaceae
Source: the annotation of a GenBank genome assembly